Molecule: long non-coding RNA, 661 nt
Filed under: Malus domestica (apple)
Lineage: Eukaryota; Viridiplantae; Streptophyta; Magnoliopsida; Rosales; Rosaceae
Description: long non-coding RNA (MDOM_LNC008455)
Source: RNAcentral
UAGGAGUGGAGCGUCCAUUCGUAAGAAUUGUAUAACUCAGAUAUGGUGAUGAAAUUCAGUACGUUAUAACAAUACUCUUUGAAUCCCUCGGUAUUAAGUUGAUAUUAAAAAAUCCUUUUGCUUUUAGUUAAUGAUUGUUUCCAAAUCGCGGCCACAAUUUUUGAGAAUUAAUACCACAUGUUAUAAGUUUAGUCCCUCCAACCAACAGAUUGAUAUCUGAGAAGGAUAAAAUCAUACACACAUAAAUCAAAUUUAAAAUUUUCCAUCACAUGUAAAUUAUAAUUAAUAAAGCAAAUAUACUGUAUCGUAUCACAAUUACAGAAGCAAGGAUUUUAAAAUGCCACAGUAUUUAACAGCUACUAUUCACAAUUCUUAAAAAAUGAGUAGAAGACUAAUGUGUACAAAGCAUCGAUGAAUCACUUCCAAAAUCAGAUACACAAAAUCUGAAAACAGCGCCUAUCCAAAGCAAAAAAGAGAACAAUUAGGCAUAAACAAAAUGCAACAACAAGAAAGCUUUUUCCCACUAAGUGGGUUCGGCUAUAUGAAUCCUAGAAUGCCAUUGCACUCGGUUAUGUGUCUGAUGCGAAAAUUAACUUAACACAUAAAUUAAACCCUCUUGUUGUCAAAUUGUAGUAUAAAUGCAAGUAGGGAUCGUUCUAAA